CCGGCUGGGAGCGCUGGCUGGGCGACUGAGUUACCUAGGUAACAGCGGCAGAGGCGGGCCUGACGUCACGGGCGGCGCGCCUCCGCACUGCGGCACUGGGCUGGCUGGACCGUGUGCGUCGCCAGCGGUUGAGCCGGCGGAGCUGUUGCCUCCUUUGCCUAGGCGCAGGGAGCCGCUUCGCGCGGCCGGGCUGUCCCUCCUCUCCCCUGUUACCUUCAAAGUAAUCUUCUGGCUACCUUAGAACUAGAAUUAACACUAAUAACCUAGAGAAGUGAGCAGCACGUGAAGAUUCAGCGGAUAAUGUUAGUGUAGAGCCAGGCAAGCAAGAAAAGCCAAAUAAACGUUACCCAGAUCACACAGGAAAUGGAACCAGAAACUCCAGAAAAGGUGGAUUCUGCACAGGAGAAAGUCAGAGGCAAGUCCCAGCCAGCAGGUGAUUCAGAUGACGGCCAAGAAAAGGCUGGGACAGAAGGGAAAGGAGAACUGACCGAAGCCUAUCAGCUGCAGGUAGCUGAAGAAAUGGCCAAGGAGAUCAAGAAGAAAAUACGAAAGAAGCUAAAGGAGCAGCUAACCUACUUUCCUCCCGACACUCUAUUGCAUGACGACAAGCUGGGCAGUGAAAAAAGAAAGAAGAAGAAGAAGAAAGUCCCGGUGCCAGCUAAGCCUGAGACAAGUCCCUCAGAUGUCUGUAACAGUGCAGUUGAAGGUGAACAGAAGAAAGAAGGUGCCCCUGAAGGAUCUCACCCCAUGGAGGGAACACACUCCACAGACCAGGAUGCGGAUGCCAGUGUGCCAGAGAACACAAAGCCCAAACCCAAAAAGACAAAGAAGAAGGCGAAAGCAGUUUCAGAGGAUAAUGAAGAGACAAAUGGAGAUGGUGUUCAUGAGAUAACAAGCCGAGACAGUCCAGUUCACCCCAAGUGUUUGCUUGAUGAUGAUCUUGUCAUGGGAGUCUACAUUCACCGUACUGAUCGGCUUAAAUCUGACUUUAUGAUUUCUCACCCAAUGGUAAAGAUCCAUGUGGUUGAUGAACACACUGGCCAGUAUGUCAAGAAAGAUGACAGUGAACGUCCUGUUUCCUCUUACUAUGAGAAAGACAAUGUGGACUAUAUUCUCCCUAUUAUGACGCAGCCAUAUGACUUUAAAAAGCUAAAGUCAAGGCUUCCGGAGUGGGAGGAGCAAGUUAUUUUUAAUGAAAAUUUUCCCUAUUUGCUUCGAGAGUUUGAUGAGUGUCCAAAAGUCAUUCUGUUCUUUGAGAUUCUUGACUUUUUAAGCAUGGAUGAAAUCAAGAAUAACUCUGAGGUUCAAAACCAAGAAUGUGGCUUUCGAAAAAUUGCCUGGGCAUUUCUUAAGCUUCUGGGAGCCAAUGGAAAUGCAAACAUCAACUCAAAACUUCGGCUGCAGCUCUACUACCCACCUACUAAGCCUCGAUCCCAGCUAAAUGUUGUUGAGGUGUUUGAAUGGUGGUCCAAGUGUCCAAGAAACCGUUAUCCAUCAACCUUGUAUGUAACUGUACGAGGAUUGAAAGUCCCAGACUGUAUAAGGCCGUCAUACCGCUCUAUGGUGGCUCUCCAGGAGGAAAGGGGCACACCAGUGUACUGUGAACGCCACCGUGACACAAGUUCCGUGGACACGGAACCUGGACUAGAGGAUUCAAAGGAGGAGGUAAAGUGGAAACGUCUGCCCGGCCAGGCCUGUCGUAUCCCAAACAAGCAUCUCUUCUCACUAAACGCUGGAGAACGAGGCUGUUUUUGUCUUGAUUUCUCCCACAAUGGAAGAAUAUUAGCAGCAGCCUGUGCCAGCCGAGACGGAUAUCCGAUUCUAUUAUAUGAAAUUCCUUCUGGACGUUUCAUGAGAGAAUUGUGUGGCCACCUCAAUAUCAUUUAUGACCUCGAUUGGUCAAAAGAUGACCGCUAUCUCGUUACUUCAUCCUCUGACGGCACUGCCAGGGUUUGGAAGAAUGAAAUCAACAGCACAAACACAUUCCGAGUCUUACCUCACCCUUCCUUCGUCUACACGGCUAAAUUCCACCCAGCCACACGAGAGCUGGUGGUUACUGGAUGCUACGACUCUGUGAUACGGAUAUGGAAAAUUGACGCAAGGGAGGACGCUGCCAUAUUAGUGCGUCAGCUGGAUGUGCACAAGAGCUUUGUCAACUCAAUCUGCUUUGAUGAUGAAGGUCACCACAUGUACUCAGGAGACUGCAUCGGGGUUAUCGUUGUCUGGGACACGUACGUCAAGGUGACUGACGUGCAACACUCCGUGCGCCAUUGGUCGAUAAAUAAGGAAAUUAAGGAAACUGAAUUCAGGGGAGUUCCAAUAACUUACCUGGAGGUUCAUCCCAAUGGAAAGCGUUUAUUAAUCCACACCAAAGACAGUACACUGAGGAUCAUGGAUCUGCGUAUAUUGGCAGCCAGGAAAUUUGUGGGUGCAGCAAAUUACCGGGAGAAGAUUCACAGCACUUUGACACCGUGCGGGACUCUGCUCUUUUCUGGGAGUGAGGAUGGGAUAGUGUAUGUUUGGAGCCCAGAGACAGGAGAACAAGUGGCGAUGUAUUCUGACCUGCCAUUCAAGUCAACUAUUCGAGACAUCUCUUACCAUCCAUUGGAGAACAUGGUUGCAUUUUGUGCCUUUGGACAGAGUGAGCCGAUUCUUCUGUAUAUUUAUGAUUUCCAGGUAGCCCAGCAGGAAGCUGAAAUGUUGAAACGCUAUAGUGGGACACUCCCGUUGCCUGGGAUACAUCAGAGUGAGGAUGCUUUAUGCACCUGUCCUAAACUGCCCCAACAGGGCUCUUUUCAGAUUGAUGAAUUUGUCAACACCGAAAAUAAUUCAUCAAGAAAGAUUCAACUUGUGAAACAGAGACUCGAAACUGUCACAGAGGUGAUACGAUCCUGUGCUGCAAAAGUCAACAAAAAUCUCUCAAUGACUUCGCCACCACCAGGCCCCGCAAAGAAGCCAAGGGUGAAACAGUCGUUCGUGCUGACCACUGAUGAGAUUAUACAUCAGUUUGGACUCCCUCAGACGGCAUUUAUCAGCAUAGAAAGAGAGCCUUUUGUGCAACAAGUUGAUCCACCACCAAUGGUAGUGGCUCUUUAUGACUACACAGCGAGCCGAUCAGAUGAACUAACCAUCCAUCGUGGAGACAUUAUCCGAGUGUUUUUCAAAGAUAAUGAAGACUGGUGGUACGGCAGCUUAGGAAAGGGGCAGGAAGGGUUCUUUCCAGCUAAUCAUGUGGCCAGUGAAACACUGUAUCGAGACACGCCUCCAAAGGUAAAGGAGCGUUCCCCUCCUUUAACUCCCAAGGAGAAAACAAGAGCAGGAAAGCCUCCAGCUUCUCAGAAGGGUGUCCAUGAAGAGGAAACGAAGUCACAAAACAACUGAGAGCAGCAGGCGCUCAGUAAGGACAGGCCCCUGGAUUCCAGACUGGGCUCACAGUCUGUGGAGCACUCUGAGAAGGGCAAAGAUCAAAACUUGGAGGACCGAGGACACAAAGCGGAUAUGGAGAUGAAGAAAAGUGAGCCGAUGGUCCGCAAAGUCACCCUGAUAGAGUAAAAAGCUGGAAAAGAAAAAAGCAGCAGCCCGAUGAGCGCACGUGACACGAAAUCCACGCCAUGCGUAUUUCUCUUUAGAUUUUGGAUGAAAAGAAGCAGUAUUUAUUGACCUUAUGAAAAACCUGAAGCAACGUUAGCUCUAAAAAAAAAAUCACUGUGGCCGUUGGGCUCAAUUGUUAUAAACCCUGUGAGUGUUACUGGUCAAAGUGUUCUACUUGUGCUACUAGUAACCGUAUCAGAAUUAGAGUGCUGUUGCUGCUGGAAAAAACAGUAAAGCAAGCCCCAGAACUGCCGCCCAGGACGUGUGAGUAACUGUGUGCAGUGUUAGUCAUUGACUAAGUCAUCACCCCGUGUGGCUAUGGCCGUGACGUGGCUGUGUCGUAAGCCAUCAUCCCAUGUGCCCGUGACUGUGAUGCUCUCUGCUCAGAGUGCAGAGAGUCUGCUUUUGAAGUUAACUGUGUGUAAAACACAAGUAGCUUCUGGAUAUUGUGUAUUCACACAGCCCCAGUAACAAAAGCAUUAAAAGAGACAGUUUGCUUUUAAGAGCUAAAUGUUUAUGUUGCCCAUGGAUGAAUUAAUUAUAUGUGUAAUUCAACACACCUGAACUAAGAAUGAUUUUGGCUGCACUGGCGACAGUAUACCAAAUGUAUUGUUAUUUUUUAAAACAGUUCAUAUUUAAGAAUAUAAGUAACUUAUGGGUGUAAACUGUUUAAUGGUUGUUUUAGUCUGAAGUUUGGUUUUAAAUUAUUACACAGCAUUAUUUAUGCCUUUAUUUCCAGAACAGCCAUGCCAUUGCCAUAUGGCCGUAGGUUGCAGUUGGCUAGAACAGUGUAACUCCUCCAUCCUGGUUUUCUCUUGACUCUUCCCUUUCUUCAGCUGCACGAGAAGUCUGUCAGUAAAGCAUUUAACCCCAACAAGGUCAAACCUGUGGUAAAGUUACAAAAACUUAUUUACCGAAUCAGACAAUUGAUCUCAUUGAAAUAAGAAGUGAGAAACACUGUGUUGAGCACUGAGGUGUAAACGUGUCCAGAUGUGCCGAUAGCUUCUAGUACAGAUGUCUUUGCCUCUUAUCCCUGCACAUGUUGUAGAAGCUUAAAAUGGUAAACAUGGCCCUGCCGUGCAGAACCUUUAUAGAAUUGUUGUCAUUACAAAAAGGAGGUCUCCAGUGCAUACAGGGUGACACUAAAAGCCGCUUAAGCCCACAGCCCUCAGCACCAAAGUCUCUUGUGCCAGUGCCAUUAUUGUGGUUGUGUGUGUCCGUGCUCCCGGUGCACUUGGGCUGGCAGCUGAGUCACUCUGAACAUGCUUCUUUUCCGUCUUGUGAGUGUACUGCUUGAGACAAUUACAAAAUAAAGGUGUGUUCCUACUAUUUCA
Non-coding RNA from Arvicanthis niloticus (Nile rat), 4925 nucleotides. The record is from RefSeq and is a predicted model, not a curated record. NCBI's taxonomy places the organism in Eukaryota, Metazoa, Chordata, Mammalia, Rodentia, Muridae.